UGGUGCAUAAGAAAAUGGGGUGGACUCGUCAACCAUAGAGCACAGCAGCUUGAGGAGGACAUACAACAUCAAAGGUCGUUAAAAAAUGGAAGAGGAAACCAAUCAACUGCACUUUAACUUGUAAAAUAGGCAUUUAAGGAAUUCCUCCAACCAAUAUAGCUAUUUACAUCGGAACAAGAACAGGCUAUUCAGCAUGUUCAAGCUGAAAAUAAGAGACCAUUCAAUUACUUUAUCUUCAGUUGCACAGACACUGGAGGAGGUUAUUCAACCUCUUUCCAUCUGUGACACACGAGUGGGAAGGCCCUUUUAACCAUGUAAGAGAGAGAAAGAGAGAGGAACUAUUACUUGUUGCAUCCUUUCUGAAAUGUACAGGACGCUGGAAACCUAACACAUUUUCUCAACCGGAAGACCGUUGAUAUCUACAGUAAAUCAAGUGCAUUGUAAGCUGGUAAUCUUAUCACUUGAAAAGCUAAUUUUUCUUCCUUCGCUGAAGGACAGGAAUGAGUCACAUGGGAUUUCAACCAUCAAUUGGCAAUGAUUUGAAGGUUAUAUGUAGAUUCUUAAUUCCAGACUUUUAAGAAGAAAUUGGAAGCAGAUCCCACCAUCUGACGUAGCGGGACUCGAACGUUGGCCACCAGAACAUUAGUUCAAUUCGAGUGGUGAUAAUACUACCAGGCCACUGCCUCCCGUAAAGCGUGCGACGCUGUUAUCAUUUCAGUUGAUCUUACUUCAAACUAAUCCAGCUCACCAUGCACCUGCCACUAACAGCAGCCAUGGAGAACUCCACCGUUUGUCGUGUGUCUUAAGGUGUUUCAUCUUUGACCGAAUGCAGCACAAAACUUCAGGUUGUGGAAUUGAGGAAUUGGACAUGGAUGUCAAAUACUGGCGGUAGAGAGGUGACGGCUGUAUGGAAGUAAGUGCACAAUCCUUCAUAACGAUUGAAACGUUAUUAAGAAGAAUUGAUAACCUUUGCACUAAGUUGGGGAAACCCCUUGUGCCAUCUACCAACUUCCAGAACCGGUGCCUAUAAUCACGCUCAGAACAUUCAAUGAAAAUCAUAAACUCGAUCGAAUUGAUAUCUCAAAACUGCAAGGUGGAAUGAUGCAGAACAUCUUAGUUACUGACCUCAUCCGCCAUGCCAUUACAAACGUGGGAGUGUACUGUAUCUUUUUGAUGUGAAAUUGCAGACUAUCCGCCAGACUCCCUCCGCCGUUUGCAGAAAUCCUCAGGAUAAAUUAGAACUGAACUGCGCUGUGGAGGGGAGCACCGAUAGCAUCUCCAUGUACUGGUACAGGCAAUAUCCAGGGAAGGAACUGCAGUUGAUGUUUUAUUCCCUAACCACAGAAAGAACAUGAACUUGCAAACAAUCUCCAGACUCCCACCGCUGUCUCCAGACUUCCUCGGGGUAAAUUAGAACCGAAAUGCACUGUGGAGGGAAAUACCGUAUAAUCAAUCUGAACUGGUACAGACAAUAUCCAAGGAAGGAACUGCAGUUGCUAUUUUAUUCUGUAGUCACAGAAAGCGUGAUUUCAGAUCAGCCGGCGGUCGGUUUCACAAUGAAGCGACCAAGUAAAUACCAAUCCAUUCUGUCGUCCUUCAGCUUGUU
Hemiscyllium ocellatum (epaulette shark) is the source of this 1606-nucleotide long non-coding RNA. RefSeq lists it as uncharacterized. Lineage: Eukaryota; Metazoa; Chordata; Chondrichthyes; Orectolobiformes; Hemiscylliidae. The record is from RefSeq and is a predicted model, not a curated record. The transcript is spliced from 4 exons.